Molecule: ribosomal RNA, 428 nt
Filed under: uncultured bacterium
Lineage: Bacteria
Description: bacterial SSU rRNA
Rfam family: Bacterial small subunit ribosomal RNA
Source: RNAcentral
GGACCCGCACAAGCGGUGGAGCAUGUGGUUUAAUUCGAUGCAACGCGAAAAACCUUACCUACUCUUGACAUACUUGGAAGCUCUUGUAAUGAGAGUGUGCCUUUUGGAACCAAGAUACAGGUGCUGCAUGGCUGUCGUCAGCUCGUGUCGUGAGAUGUUCCGUUAAGUCGGAUAACGAGCGCAACCCUUACCCUUAUUUGCCAGCGAUUCGGUCGGGAACUAUAAGGGGACUGCCGGUGAUAAACCGGAGGAAGGUGAGGACGACGUCAAGUCAUCAUGGCCCUUACGAGUAGGGCUACACACGUGCUACAAUGGCCAGUACAAAAGGAAGCGAAAUUGUGAAAUGGAGCAAAUCCUAUCAAAGCUGGUCUCAGUCCGGAUUGGAGUCUGCAACUCGACUCCAUGAAGUAGGAAUCGCUAGUAAUCGU